RNAcentral lists this long non-coding RNA (1015 nucleotides) under Equus caballus (horse). RNAcentral's name for it is "lncRNA (ENSECAG00000057076.1)". Lineage: Eukaryota; Metazoa; Chordata; Mammalia; Perissodactyla; Equidae. The record is from RNAcentral.
AGGGGCUGGCCACAAGAGGGACGGGCGUGUCUCCAGUCAGCAUAGUCCUUGGGGGACGGGCAGGUCAGCUCCCCGACGCAGAGCCAGCAUCUUGGAAGGAGGGGUGAGUGGCAUAGUCUAAGCUGGGGACAGGGUGGUCCCGGCCCAAAGGACAGGCUCAGCUCCGUGAUGGCUGCGAGGGCCCCAGACCGUACCUCUGCACCCGGCCAGGGGCCCCACCUCCCACAUGUCCUCCCGGGGGGCCACACAGCCAGGGCGAGGGGGGAGGCUGGCCUCUCAGUGUGGGGAGGCCACAGGGCUGCUCCCCGUGGCCCAGCUGCCACCACCACCGCACGCUCCUCUGGGAACCCACACAGACCCAAGUGCGGGGUGGCAGGAACGGUGUGUGUGUCGAGGAAUCCCAGACCCACAGUAACACUUGAUUUUGCAUCAGCAACCCAGGCUGGCUCCGAAAAUGAGGCUCAGAAGCAGGUGUCACAGCGGAUGGCCUCUGUAGCACAAAUGGCUUAAAUCGGAGGAAACUACUUUCCGACCACAGCCGGUCUUACAUGAACAUAAGGGAGAAAGUGUUUCCAGUAAUUAGCACAAAUGAAGCAAACCUGGGCCCGGUGUGCGCCUGCGGGGAGGGUGUGCACGCAGGGGGGGCCCUGCACGGAAGGCCGUGCACGCAUGCGCGCGAGAGAAGGGCCUUGCCAGAAAGGCCCCCCUCCUGUCACCCGGGGCUGGGCGGGUGGCGGGCAGUGCGUCUGGGGCCACGGUUACUAACUGGCCUUCCCCCUUCCUUCCUGCACCUUCUCGGGGCUGAGCUCUCGGCCAGCGAGGCCAGGAGGCGGGUACACUCGGGGCGAUGCGCCAGUGGAUGGAUGCGUGCAGACAACGGGGCUGCGUCCCCCAUCCGCGCGCCGCCGUGUCGGCUGGAACUGCAGGAGCGGUUUGCGCUCAUGGGUUUUAAUAUUGAUAAUUUGAUAGAUGCUAGACUGAUCAGAAAAUAGAUGGUGGACAGUUUGAAAAUAAG